This 1047-nucleotide ribosomal RNA is filed under the name Hemithecium chlorocarpum. Its description in RNAcentral is "LSU rRNA". It matches the Rfam family "Eukaryotic large subunit ribosomal RNA", at positions 87 to 1157 of the family's 3401-position model. The record is from RNAcentral. Lineage: Eukaryota; Fungi; Ascomycota; Lecanoromycetes; Ostropales; Graphidaceae.
UUGUGAGUGUAGAAGGGGACAGCUCAAAGUGAAAUCUGGCCCUGGCCCGAGUUGUAAUUUGUAGAAGGUGUCUCGGGGGCGACGACGACGCAAGUUUCCUGGAACGGAACGUCGCAGAGGGUGAGAAUCCCGUAUGCUGUCGAACGUCAAUCCCGCGUGAGACCCUUUCGACGAGUCGAGUUGUUUGGGAAUGCAGCUCAAAAUGGGUGGUAAAUUUCAUCUAAAGCUAAAUAUCCGCCCGAAACCGAUAGCACACAAGUAGAGUGAUCGAAAGAUGAAAAGAACUUUGAAAAGAGAGUGAAACAGUACGUGAAAUUGUUGAAAGGGAAGCGCUUGCAAUCAGACUCGUCCGCGCUUGUUCAGCCUCUCCUUCGGGCAAGGUGCAUUCUUGCGCGGACGGGCCAGCAUCGAUUUCGGCGGCCGGACAAAGGUCUUGGGAAUGUAGCUCCUUUCGGGGAGUGUUAUAGCCUGAGGUGUAAUGCGGCCAGUCGGGAUUGAGGACCGCGCUUUUGCUAGGAUGCUGGCGUAAUGGUUGCUAGCGACCCGUCUUGAAACACGGACCAAGGAGUCGACCAACCGCGCGAGUGUUUGGGUGUCAAGCCCACAACGCGCAAUGAAAGUGAACGCAGGUGGGAAGCUUCGGCUGCACCAUCGACCGAUCUUGAUGUCUUCGGAUGGAUUUGAGUACGAGCGCGUUUGGUCGGACCCGAAAGUCAUGUGAUCUAUGCGUGAAUAGGGUGAAGCCAGAGGAAACUCUGGUGGAGGCUCGCAGCGGUUCUGACGUGCAAAUCGAUCGUCAAAUUUGCGCAUAGGGGCGAAAGACUAAUCGAACUGACUAGUAGCUGGUUCCUGUCGAAGUUUCCCUCAGGAUAGCAGCAGCGAGCAACAGUCUCAUGAGGUAGAGCGAACGAUUAGAGGACUGGGGGGCGCAAUGCCCUUCACGUAUUCUCGAACUUCGAAUACGUGAGAAGUCCUUGUUACUUAAUUGAACGUGGACAAACGGAUGUAUCGCUGUUAUUGGCCCAUUUUGUAGAAAAAACUGGGGAG